AAAUAGAACUUUGCAGAGAGAGUUAAGAGGGCGUGAAACCGUUAAUUGGCAAACGAAUCGGAGCCACGAAGUCGUUUCGUCGAUAGUUGGUCCAAGUUCAACUUAGAUACAUCUGUGUCUAGGUGCAUUCUUGAGGCUAACCCUCGUUGUAAGCGUACACUGCAACCAGUUAGACGAUUGGCGGUGGAAGUAGUAGUUGCCGCGGGAGGUAGUAGUUCGGCUCCAUGUAUUUGGAUGUCCGUAUUGCUGGCUCGUGUGCAAGAGAACUACCACCAAAUACUGACUGGCGAAAUGAAAACCGCCUAGCGGCGUUUCUAGAUAGAGCGGCCAGCAGCGCGUGUUGUUACACGUUUGACGGGUAUGUUCAAGUUUGGUAUUUUUGAAUUUAGACUUGCUUGCUACCAAUGGGGUAACUCUUGGUGCUUGUAUAGCUUCUAUCUAAUCGGGUAUCGACUUAGCAUGCCUUAGUUUGAACGUGAGUCGAUUGAUAGUGCGCGUUAGUUGGUUCGCAACAAUUGGCAGUGAGUAGGUCGGCUUUCCGAACGACCCGUCUUGAAACACGGACCAAGGAGUCUAGUUAGGCAUCAAGUCGAUCGGUCUUGAAUAGGCCAGACUGGGGUUUUCACUCCGAUUGAAGGCGUAGAGAAUCAUGUGAUCUUGUGGCUACUCCAAGCUGCAAGCGCAACAUGUGCCUGCUCGUAUGCCAUUGCGCAAUGUGGUGGGCGGAGUAAAGAGAUGUCUGACUGGUACCCGAAAGAUGGUGAUGCUUGGGCAAAUUGAAGCCAGAGGAAACUCUGGUGGAGGAUUGUAGCGAUUCUGACGUGCAAAUCGAUCGUCAGACCUGAGUAUAGGGGCGAAAGACUAAUCGAACCAUC
Molecule: ribosomal RNA, 875 nt
Filed under: Surapoda tianlinensis
Lineage: Eukaryota; Metazoa; Arthropoda; Arachnida; Trombidiformes; Eriophyidae
Description: partial large subunit ribosomal RNA
Rfam family: Eukaryotic large subunit ribosomal RNA
Source: RNAcentral